This 467-nucleotide ribosomal RNA is filed under the name uncultured bacterium. Its description in RNAcentral is "partial 16S ribosomal RNA". It matches the Rfam family "Bacterial small subunit ribosomal RNA", at positions 29 to 507 of the family's 1533-position model. The record is from RNAcentral.
ACGAACGCUGGCGGCGUGCUUAACACAUGCAAGUCGAACGGAAAGGCCCUGCUUUUGUGGGGUGCUCGAGUGGCGAACGGGUGAAUAACACGUGAGUAACCUGCCCUUGACUUUGGGAUAACUUCAGGAAACUGGGGCUAAUGCCGGAUAGGAGCUCCUGCUGCAUGGUGGGGGUUGGAAAGUUUCGGCGGUUGGGGAUGGACUCGCGGCUUAUCAGCUUGUUGGUGGGGUAGUGGCUUACCAAGGCUUUGACGGGUAGCCGGCCUGAGAGGGUGACCGGCCACAUUGGGACUGAGAUACGGCCCAGACUCCUACGGGAGGCAGCAGUGGGGAAUAUUGCACAAUGGGCGGAAGCCUGAUGCAGCAACGCCGCGUGCGGGAUGACGGCCUUCGGGUUGUAAACCGCUUUCGCCUGUGACGAAGCGUGAGUGACGGUAAUGGGUAAAGAAGCACCGGCUAACUACGUG